RNAcentral lists this long non-coding RNA (1130 nucleotides) under Polistes fuscatus (common paper wasp). Its description in RNAcentral is "uncharacterized LOC122522771". Lineage: Eukaryota; Metazoa; Arthropoda; Insecta; Hymenoptera; Vespidae. The record is from RNAcentral.
UAGUUUGCUAAGCAGAGACGGUUAGAGUUCAAAUUGCGUAGCUAGUAAUAAGACAAUAAAAUAAGAUUGAAUAUUAGCUGUAAAUGUUGUUUCUCUUAUUUGCAGAAACUCAAGGAAGUUAUAUUUCCAAGACAUCAUCCUUAUAAGAACUAUGUAGAAUAUACCUUAUACGUAUAUAUAAAUACGAUUUGUUUUUACGGAAAAAGUUUUCGACAUUAUUUGAGAGCGACAGAAGAACGGCGUGUUACGUAACAAACAAAGUCCAUGGUAUACCAUUCCGGGACUUCGGUCUCGACGAAUAUGAACAAAGUCAUGUGCACCGAGAAUUAGAUAAAUUUCGCCAAAGACAUGGGUCGAAGCUUUUAAUAGCAUAUAAAGGAGGACAUAUCGAAAGAGAUUUGUUAAAUCAGGCAUCAAUAAUCGGUUUCAACUUAGAAGACUUUGAUUGUCCUAAAUUUGAAGACCAAAUUAAAAUAUAUGAAGAUAGAAAUUUAAAUAAUUCUUAUCUUCUUACAUCGGCGAAAUCAACCACAAAUGUACAUUGUUGUCCCUUUCUGAGAUAUAAGUGUAUAGAGAAUAAUAUAAGGAUAAAAGAUAAUUUUUGUAAAUUUACAAAUUUUUAUAGCCAAUUUUUUCUUACGCGCGCGAUUUUUCAUAAGUAUUUUUUUUUUAUUAAAUAUAAUACCAUUUUCUAAAGAUUACUGUUUCUACAAAGAGACAAGUUAUAACUACGUCUGUUUUCGCCGUAAUGUAUAAAUAUGUAAAAAAAAUGACGAUCUCAUCAUUCCUUUAAAAUAAAUUAUUAUUUUAUUUAUAUUCUUAUUAAUUUAAUAUUGUAUGUAACGACGGAUAACCUUUCUUUAAACCGUCUCCGUGCGUAAGACUACCAAAUUUCUGUUAUCUAAUUUUAAGUUAAGUCUGUAGAUCAAAUUUGUUAUCGGCAAAGCUAUUCUGCAAUCCAUAUGUACAUACCGAAUUUAAAUAAACAUUGAAACUUUAUAAAGAUUCCAAUCAAAAACACUGCGAAACUUUUGCAAUACCGCCUUUUUUAUAAAUAUGAUGUAAAUAUGCUAUGUACAUCCGUAGAGAUGUAAGAAUUUCUACAAUAAAAUAAGUAAUUACGAUCUUCA